This is a long non-coding RNA of Homo sapiens (human), 602 nucleotides long. RefSeq lists it as uncharacterized. Lineage: Eukaryota; Metazoa; Chordata; Mammalia; Primates; Hominidae. The transcript is spliced from 3 exons. The record is from RefSeq and is a predicted model, not a curated record.
CGAGAAAGUGAGCAGUGACAAUCUAGACUGAUUAUUAGAGGUACUUCUCCCACUUUUCAGAAACCAAGGAGCCUUUGAUUAGUAGUGAAAUUGUGGCACCCCAACUACAGUGGAGUGGAAUGUCCUGCUAUUCUGGAGGGGUGAUGGCUCAGGGUCAAGACUGGACUAAUUAGAAAAAAAAAUGCACUCCAGGAAUAUCAAGUCCGAAACAAAGCUCAUUUCUCAUGUGCGCUCCAGGAGUAUCAAGUCCAAAACAAAGCUCUUCAAACCACCUAGGAAGAGAAAACAGCAUGACAAGGAAAGGACCCUGAUGUCUGAGGAAGAAGGUUCACAUCCAACUCUGCCCCUGGUGUGUCACGUGCCGGCCUUGUCAACGCACACGAGAACCUGACAGGGUCCCAUGGAAUUCAGACAAGGAAGUAAAGCAAAUGAGAAUGGCCCACAGGGGAGCAGUUCAAAUGCGCAGAAAAAGAUAGAGCAGCCCCAAUGAGGAAGGAAGGCUGGACAAGAAAUGGAUUUGUAGGGAAGACAAUGUGCACCCAUCGGAGCUCUGAUUGCUUUACUUUCACUACCCUCCCCUGCCCACUAACAUCGAAAAAGUA